Molecule: ribosomal RNA, 482 nt
Filed under: uncultured bacterium
Lineage: Bacteria
Description: bacterial SSU rRNA
Rfam family: Bacterial small subunit ribosomal RNA
Source: RNAcentral
UGAACGCUGGCGGCAUGCCUUACACAUGCAAGUCGAACGGCAGCACGGGUGCUUGCACCCUGGUGCGGAGUGGCGGAACGGGUGAGUAAUACAUCGGAAUGUACCUUGUAGUGGGGGAUAGCUCGGCGAAAGCCGGAUUAAUACCGCAUACGCUCUGAGGAGGAAAGCGGGGGACCUUCGGGCCUCGUGCUACAAGAGCAGCCGAUGUCAGAUUAGCUUGUUGGUGAGGUAAAAGCUCACCAAGGCGACGAUCUGUAGCUGGUCUGAGAGGACGACCAGCCACACUGGGACUGAGACACGGCCCAGACUCCUACGGGAGGCAGCAGUGGGGAAUUUUGGACAAUGGGGGCAACCCUGAUCCAGCCAUUCCGCGUGAGUGAAGAAGGCCCUUCGGUUGUAAGCUCUUUCGCAAGGAGAAACUAUGAUCGAAUAAAUCAUGAGGUUGACGGUACCUUGGAUAAGAAGCACCGGCUAACUACGUG